GUGGCCCGUAUGGUGCUCAAGUUGUUAUCCUGUACUGGCUAUUUAAGCACAACAAAUGAAUGAGAAAGAUGAGGCCGUGAGGGCUAGAGCAGAAACAUGUAGCCACUGUAUUCACCAAGGACGGAGCCUCUCGGCAAAGCUAGCGGAUGGUCUGUUCCUUGGUGCAUGUGUGUGUGUGUAAUGUGCGUUCAGGUGUUCUUGAGAGAAACCAUAGAAGAGAGAAGAGAGAGUUGUGCGAGGCAGCUCGAGGUAGAAGAAGAAGAGCGGCGCUGCGAGGAGGCGGCGCCAACGAUUGGCAUUAGAGCCUUGUCGAUCCGCGGAAGCGAUGGCGGCGACGACGACGCGGCGGACUCCAUGUGAGGUGGAGGACGUCGGCACGAGGUGGGUGGCCGUCGGCGGCGCGAUGCUGCCGGUGGCCGGUUGCGGUGUGAUGCCGCUAGAUGAUGGCGGUGCGAAGCUGCCACAAGACGACGGUGUGACGCCGAUGGGAGGUACGACGGCACGAGGCCGUUAUGAGGAGAAGACGGCGUGGCGAUCGGCGCCGCGAAGGCGUCGUCCACGUGAAGACAUGGCCGCUGCAUGCGGCAAGAGGUCGUGGUACUCGGCGCCACGACAGCGUCGUCCACGGCAAGACGGCGCAAGGUGGGCGCUAUUGGCAGCACGAUGGCGUUGAUGGUUAGUUGCGGUGCGAUGCCGCAACAUGAUGAUUGUGUGGUGAUCGGCGUCGCGAGGACGUCAUCCAUGAUAAGAUGAUCCAUGGUGACCGGCGCUGCGACGGCGUCGGUGGCGGCCGGCUGUGGCGCUGCGACGGCGUCGACAAGUGGCUGCGGGUGAUCCGUAUGAUGAUUGUGAUAUCAAGAUUAGAAGGGUGAAUGUUAGAGCUAAUCUUGAUAUUUGUAUUAGCAUGUUUGAGUUUUGCAUGUAGUCUAGUCUAGUAUGGUGUUCGUCCGACGAAGGCUUCAGGUGAGCGCGCCAAGGAGGUGAGAGGCCAGGAUGCCGUGUGAGGCGGUGAGCACGGCGAGAUGCCGAUGGUGCUGCGUGAGAAGCGGCAAGACGUAUCAGAGGCUGGAGCCGUGAUGGACUGCAUCAAAUUGGGUCGGGUGAACCGGCCGGUCGUUCUGUUUGUUGGACUAGCUGUUCAUGCGUGAGUUCGUUUAGUCCUAGCCGAGAGUAUCGUUGCUAGUAGUUGAUGCAUGCAUGUAGUUGGCCUGGUCACAAGUGGUUACCGAGUCGUGUGCAACGCUGGAGUGAUUCCAGGAGUGGAGUACGUGGGAGUUAGUGGCCCGUAUGGUGCUCAAGUUGUUAUCCUGUACUGGCUAUUUAAGCACAACAAAUGAAUGAGAAAGAUGAGGCCGUGAGGGCUAGAGCAGAAACAUGUAGCCACUGUAUUCACCAAGGACGGAGCCUCUCGGCAAAGCUAGCGGAUGGUCUGUUCCUUGGUGCGUGUGUGUGUGUAGUGUGCGUUCAGGUGUUCUUGAGAGAAACCAUAGAAGAGAGAAGAGAGAGUUGUGCGAGGCAGCUCGAGGUAGAAGAAGAAGAGCGGCGCUGCGAGGAGGCGGCGCCAACAUCUCCAACAUAUGCGCGCAUGCAUCCGUUUCGGGCGCUCUAGCGGAGGCGCAAAAAACACGCACGCGGCAUAAAUGGUUCAGCGCAUGAAGUGAAACGGCAUCUUCAGCCUAUCCCCACGUCGCCGCUGCUUCCUCCACCUACCUCUAGUCGUCGCCGCCCCUCCCGCGCGUCCUUCCUCCGACGAACAGCGCCCGGCCGCAUAGUGCCGCUCGGCGCCCACAAGGUGUUCAACAAAAACGCUUGCAAGACGAGUGUGUCAUAUGAUUCUUCCGAAGAAGAAUUUGAUAUUGAAGAGGAGGAGGAAGACCUUGCAAUGGUCCUAACUAUGCACAUCAAUAUAAAGCCGAAGCACGGUGGUUCAGUUAUGGGUCGGCGGAAAAUUUGGAGGGAUAUGAUCGAUGUCGACAACAGAUUGAUGAGGCAAUAUUUUAUGGAGAAUCCCACAUACCCCUAGUCGUACUUCCUCCGCGCCAUUUUAGGAUGAGCAUCGAGUUGUUCAGGCGCAUUGCAGAGAAACUGGCGAGCCAUGAUUGGUUUUUUCACCAAAGGAGGAAUGCGCCGGAGAACUUGGGCAUAGCACCUUUCAAAAGGUGACAGCCGCUUUGCAUAUGUUGGCAUACGGUAUUUCCGGCCGAUCUAGUUGAUGACCACUCGGCCAUGGGUGAGAGUCAAGUCAUCAUUGUGUGUCAAGCACUUCGAAGUCGGAAUUCUGCAAGUGUUUGGUCCGGAGUAUUUGAGAUCUCGCAAUGCUGAAGACGCCACAAGGCUUUUGGUGAUGAACAAAGCUCGCGAAUUCACAGGUAUGCUUGGCUUAAUAGAUUGCAUGCAUUGAAAUUGAAAGAACUGUCCUUAGGCAUGGUAUGAACAAUUCCACGGUCAGAAAAAGGGUUCCAUUAUAAUCCUUGAAGCGGUGGCCCAUCAAGAGACUUGGAUUUGACGUGCUUUUUUUGAAAUGCCUGGAUCUUUGAAUGACAUCAACGUUGUUAAUCGGUCACCACUCAUGAAUAAGAUUGCAAAUGGUGAACUGUCACCGGUGCAGUUUGUAGCAAAUGGCCAUACAUACAACUAUGGCUACUAUUUUGCGGAUUGCAUCUACCCAAAGUGCCAAACAUUUGUGAAGCCAUUAAAAAACCGGAAGGUAAGAAAAAUCUAGAUUUCCACAAUGCUCAGGCGGCGGCUAGAAAGGAUGUGGAGAGAGCUUUUGUGAUUUUGCAAGCCCAAUUUGCUAUUAUGAGAGGACCGGCUAGAUUUUGGGAUCAAAAGAUCCCUUGUUACAUCAUGCACGCUUGUGUGAUCAUGCAUAAUAUGAUCAUCGAGAACGAGUGUGGUCAAGAUUUAGACUACUCUAAGUAUGAGCUCUUGAGACAUCCCGAGCGAGUGCAGCGGAGGGCUGCGAGGGUGGCCCGAUUUGCUGCCUCCUAUCAUGACAUUCGACGUGCCGAAAUGCAUGAUGAUCUUCAAAAGGAUCUAAUCAAGGAGUGGUGGGCAUGGAAUGAACGAAAAAACGAGUGAUUUGUAUGUUUGAUGUUGUAUUGUUGAACUAUUUGUUGUUUUGAAAGAUAAACUAUUUGUUUGAGUUGUAAUAAAAUUGAACUAUUUAUUGUUGAUUAUUUUUUAUGUGUUU
This is a long non-coding RNA of Triticum aestivum (bread wheat), 3193 nucleotides long. RefSeq lists it as uncharacterized. The record is from RefSeq and is a predicted model, not a curated record. The transcript has 2 exons. Lineage: Eukaryota; Viridiplantae; Streptophyta; Magnoliopsida; Poales; Poaceae.